GCCGGUGUGUUGGAACUGGCAGACGAGACGGACUCAAAAUCCGUUGGUGGCAACACCGUGUGGGUUCGACCCCCACCACCGGCACCA
RNAcentral lists this transfer RNA (87 nucleotides) under Candidatus Gemmiger avicola. RNAcentral's name for it is "tRNA-Leu". It matches the Rfam family "tRNA". From Rfam's summary of the family: Transfer RNA (tRNA) molecules are approximately 80 nucleotides in length. Their secondary structure includes four short double-helical elements and three loops (D, anti-codon, and T loops). The record is from RNAcentral. Lineage: Bacteria; Bacillati; Bacillota; Clostridia; Eubacteriales; Oscillospiraceae.